RNAcentral lists this ribosomal RNA (439 nucleotides) under uncultured bacterium. Its description in RNAcentral is "partial 16S ribosomal RNA". It matches the Rfam family "Bacterial small subunit ribosomal RNA", at positions 339 to 795 of the family's 1533-position model. The record is from RNAcentral.
CUACGGGGGGCAGCAGUGGGGAAUCUUAGACAAUGGGCGCAAGCCUGAUCUAGCCAUGCCACGUGAGUGAUGAAGGCCUUAGGGUCGUAAAGCUCUUUCGCUGGGGAAGAUAAUGACGGUACCCAGUAAAGAAACCCCGGCUAACUCCGUGCCAGCAGCCGCGGUAAUACGGAGGGGGUUAGCGUUGUUCGGAAUUACUGGGCGUAAAGCGCGCGUAGGCGGACUGCUAAGUCGGGGGUGAAAUCCCGGGGCUCAACCCCGGAACGGCCUUCGAUACUGGCAGUCUGGAGUUCGAGAGAGGUGAGUGGAAUUCCGAGUGUAGAGGUGAAAUUCGUAGAUAUUCGGAGGAACACCAGUGGCGAAGGCGGCUCACUGGCUCGAUACUGACGCUGAGGUGCGAAAGUGUGGGGAGCAAACAGGAUUAGAUACCCGGGUAGUC